GCUGCGUGCAGGGGCGCACGCCUGUAAUCCCAGCAGCUCGGGAGGCUGAGGCAGGAGGAUCACGAGUUCAAAACCAACCUCAGCAAUAGCCAGGUGCUAGGCAACUCAGUGAGACCCUGUUUCUA
Molecule: small RNA, 125 nt
Filed under: Marmota monax (woodchuck)
Lineage: Eukaryota; Metazoa; Chordata; Mammalia; Rodentia; Sciuridae
Source: RNAcentral